Molecule: long non-coding RNA, 339 nt
Filed under: Mytilus galloprovincialis (Mediterranean mussel)
Lineage: Eukaryota; Metazoa; Mollusca; Bivalvia; Mytilida; Mytilidae
Source: RNAcentral
CUGUGAAUGUUUUGUGUUUAUUAUUGUCAUUGGGUUGCUAUCUCAUUGACGUAUACCCUCAUGUUCUUCAUUCAUAUAAUAACAUUUUCGUCUCUUCUUCAACGAAAUGUAAGAUUGAAACUUUCAAACUUGACAGAAAAGUGUGUUCAACUGCUUUGCUACACAGAUAUUAAAUAUCUCACCAUAAAUACCAGGAUUGAAAUUGUGUACGCAAUAUCCUGGAAUAAAAAAAUCUUCAUGUUUCGAAAAAAAAAAAGUUUUGUAAACAAUUAUUCGAUAAUUAUGAUCAAAUCAUUGAUAGUUCAUGUCAACACACAAGUGCUGACUACUAGGCUAGUG